RNAcentral lists this ribosomal RNA (974 nucleotides) under Nocardia cyriacigeorgica. Its description in RNAcentral is "bacterial SSU rRNA". It matches the Rfam family "Bacterial small subunit ribosomal RNA", at positions 98 to 1086 of the family's 1533-position model. Lineage: Bacteria; Bacillati; Actinomycetota; Actinomycetes; Mycobacteriales; Nocardiaceae. The record is from RNAcentral.
GCGAACGGGUGAGUAACACGUGGGUGAUCUGCCUCGCACUCUGUGAUAAGCCUGGGAAACUGGGUCUAAUACCGGAUAUGACCUUACAUCGCAUGGUGUUUGGUGGAAAGAUUUAUCGGUGCGAGAUGGGCCCGCGGCCUAUCAGCUUGUUGGUGGGGUAAUGGCCUACCAAGGCGACGACGGGUAGCCGGCCUGAGAGGGCGACCGGCCACACUGGGACUGAGACACGGCCCAGACUCCUACGGGAGGCAGCAGUGGGGAAUAUUGCACAAUGGGCGAAAGCCUGAUGCAGCGACGCCGCGUGAGGGAUGACGGCCUUCGGGUUGUAAACCUCUCUCGACAGGGACGAAGCGCAAGUGACGGUACCUGUAGAAGAAGCACCGGCCAACUACGUGCCAGCAGCCGCGGUAAUACGUAGGGUGCGAGCGUUGUCCGGAAUUACUUGGCCUAAAGAGCUUGUAGGCGGCUUGUCGCGUCGAUCGUGAGAACUUGGGGCUCAACCCCAAGCUUGCGGUCGAUACGGGCAGGCUUGAGUACUUCAGGGGAGACUGGAAUUCCUGGUGUAGCGGUGAAAUGCGCAGAUAUCAGGAGGAACACCGGUGGCGAAGGCGGGUCUCUGGGAAGUAACUGACGCUGAGAAGCGACAGCGUCGGUAGCGAACAGGAUUAGAUACCCUGGUAGUCCACGCCGUAAACGGUGGGUACUAGGUGUGGGUUCCCUUCCACGGGAUCCGUGCCGUAGCUAACGCAUUAAGUACCCCGCCUGGGGAGUACGGCCGCAAGGCUAAAACUCAAAGGAAUUGACGGGGGCCCGCACAAGCGGCGGAGCAUGUGGAUUAAUUCGAUGCAACGCGAAGAACCUUACCUGGGUUUGACAUACACCGGAAACCUGCAGAGAUGUAGGCCACCUUGUGGUCGGUGUACAGGUUGUGCAUGGCUGUCGUCAGCUCGUGUCGUGAGAUUUUGGGUUAAGUC